GGGGGAGGGGGCUGCCUUCCAUGCAAGUCGAACGGCAGCACGGGUGCUUGCACCUGGUGGCGAGUGGCGAACGGGUGAGUAAUACAUCGGAACAUGUCCUGUAGUGGGGGAUAGCCCGGCGAAAGCCGGAUUAAUACCGCAUACGAUCUACGGAUGAAAGCGGGGGACCUUCGGGCCUCGCGCUAUAGGGUUGGCCGAUGGCUGAUUAGCUAGUUGGUGGGGUAAAGGCCUACCAAGGCGACGAUCAGUAGCUGGUCUGAGAGGACGACCAGCCACACUGGGACUGAGACACGGCCCAGACUCCUACGGGAGGCAGCAGUGGGGAAUUUUGGACAAUGGGCGAAAGCCUGAUCCAGCAAUGCCGCGUGUGUGAAGAAGGCCUUCGGGUUGUAAAGCACUUUUGUCCGGAAAGAAAUCCUUGGCUCUAAUACAGCCGGGGGAUGACGGUACCGGAAGAAUAAGCACCGGCUAACUACGUGCCAGCAGCCGCGGUAAUACGUAGGGUGCGAGCGUUAAUCGGAAUUACUGGGCGUAAAGCGUGCGCAGGCGGUUUGCUAAGACCGAUGUGAAAUCCCCGGGCUCAACCUGGGAACUGCAUUGGUGACUGGCAGGCUAGAGUAUGGCAGAGGGGGGUAGAAUUCCACGUGUAGCAGUGAAAUGCAUAGAGAUGUGGAGGAAUACCGAUGGNNAAGGCAGCCCCCUGGGCCAAUACUGACGCUCAUGC
RNAcentral lists this ribosomal RNA (724 nucleotides) under Burkholderia sp. RNAcentral describes it as "bacterial SSU rRNA". It matches the Rfam family "Bacterial small subunit ribosomal RNA", at positions 38 to 752 of the family's 1533-position model. The record is from RNAcentral. Lineage: Bacteria; Pseudomonadati; Pseudomonadota; Betaproteobacteria; Burkholderiales; Burkholderiaceae.